UACACAUGCAGUCGAACGGUAACAGGAAGCAGCUUGCUGCUUUGCUGACGAGUGGCGGACGGGUGAGUAAUGUCUGGGAAACUGCCUGAUGGAGGGGGAUAACUACUGGAAACGGUAGCUAAUACCGCAUAACGUCGCAAGACCAAAGAGGGGGACCUUCGGGCCUCUUGCCAUCGGAUGUGCCCAGAUGGGAUUAGCUAGUAGGUGGGGUAAAGGCUCACCUAGGCGACGAUCCCUAGCUGGUCUGAGAGGAUGACCAGCCACACUGGAACUGAGACACGGUCCAGACUCCUACGGGAGGCAGCAGUGGGGAAUAUUGCACAAUGGGCGCAAGCCUGAUGCAGCCAUGCCGCGUGUAUGAAGAAGGCCUUCGGGUUGUAAAGUACUUUCAGCGGGGAGGAAGGGAGUAAAGUUAAUACCUUUGCUCAUUGACGUUACCCGCAGAAGAAGCACCGGCUAACUCCGUGCCAGCAGCCGCGGUAAUACGGAGGGUGCAAGCGUUAAUCGGAAUUACUGGGCGUAAAGCGCACGCAGGCGGUUUGUUAAGUCAGAUGUGAAAUCCCCGGGCUCAACCUGGGAACUGCAUCUGAUACUGGCAAGCUUGAGUCUCGUAGAGGGGGGUAGAAUUCCAGGUGUAGCGGUGAAAUGCGUAGAGAUCUGGAGGAAUACCGGUGGCGAAGGCGGCCCCCUGGACGAAGACUGACGCUCAGGUGCGAAAGCGUGUGGAGCAAACAGGAUUAGAUACCCUGGUAGUCCACGCCGUA
This 764-nucleotide ribosomal RNA is filed under the name Escherichia coli. RNAcentral describes it as "bacterial SSU rRNA". It matches the Rfam family "Bacterial small subunit ribosomal RNA", at positions 50 to 804 of the family's 1533-position model. Lineage: Bacteria; Pseudomonadati; Pseudomonadota; Gammaproteobacteria; Enterobacterales; Enterobacteriaceae. The record is from RNAcentral.